CCUGAUUGAGAGGGGGAUUAAAAGGUCAUCACCUCUAUUUGUAUCCAUGGGGAUGGAGAAGAGUAGAGGGAGACAAGCUGGACACCAUCAUGAAUCAUCCUGACAUCCUGGGGGCCAGAAUAUUGACUAGAAAAUAAGUGUCCUGGUCCUGAGAGUCUAGGGGAGAGGAGAUGUCAAGGGAAUCUUUAAGUCCUCUUUCUCCAUCCAGCCCCCGGUGAACACUCAGUAAACGUUUGCUGAAUGAAUGAACACCCUGUCUGCAGCAGAACAUGGACAAAUAGGCUCUGCCAUCAGUAAAUGAGAAGCAAGAGAACAGGCUAAACUCAAGAGGACAGAGGCUGGUGAGGAGGUAAAGCAGGCCCAAUGAAAUGGAUCAGAGAGCCCAAACUGUCAGAGAGGAGGAAAGCAGAUAAAACAACUGAGUCGCAGGGAGAUCUGUUACUUACCUAAGGCCACAGUUAGCAACAAGCCAAUAUUCAAAUCCAGAUGGUUUUUACUCCCAAGGACAAUAAAUCCAACUCAAUGAACCAAA
This is a long non-coding RNA of Sapajus apella (tufted capuchin), 532 nucleotides long. RefSeq lists it as uncharacterized. The record is from RefSeq and is a predicted model, not a curated record. Lineage: Eukaryota; Metazoa; Chordata; Mammalia; Primates; Cebidae. The transcript has 2 exons.